AACGAACGCUGGCGGCAUGCCUAACACAUGCCAGUCGAACGAGACCUUCGGGUCUAGUGGCGCACGGGUGCGUAACGCGUGGGAACCUGCCCUUAGGUUCGGAAUAACUCCCCGAAAGAGGUGCUAAUACCGGAUAAUGUCUUCGGACCAAAGAUUUAUCGCCUUUGGAUGGGCCCGCGUUGGAUUAGCUAGUUGGUAGGGUAAAAGCCUACCAAGGCGACGAUCCAUAGCUGGUCUGAGAGGAUGAUCAGCCACACUGGGACUGAGACACGGCCCAGACUCCUACGGGAGGCAGCAGUGGGGAAUAUUGGACAAUGGGCGAAAGCCUGAUCCAGCAAUGCCGCGUGAGUGAUGAAGGCCUUAGGGUUGUAAAGCUCUUUUACCCGGGAUGAUAAUGACAGUACCGGGAGAAUAAGCUCCGGCUAACUCCGUG
Molecule: ribosomal RNA, 433 nt
Filed under: uncultured bacterium
Lineage: Bacteria
Description: partial 16S ribosomal RNA
Rfam family: Bacterial small subunit ribosomal RNA
Source: RNAcentral